RNAcentral lists this transfer RNA (73 nucleotides) under Thelohanellus kitauei. RNAcentral describes it as "tRNA-Arg for anticodon UCG". It matches the Rfam family "tRNA". From Rfam's summary of the family: Transfer RNA (tRNA) molecules are approximately 80 nucleotides in length. Their secondary structure includes four short double-helical elements and three loops (D, anti-codon, and T loops). Further hydrogen bonds mediate the characteristic L-shaped molecular structure. tRNAs have two regions of fundamental functional importance: the anti-codon, which is responsible for specific mRNA codon recognition, and the 3' end, to which the tRNAs corresponding amino acid is attached (by aminoacyl-tRNA synthetases). tRNAs cope with the degeneracy of the genetic code in two manners: having more than one tRNA (with a specific anti-codon) for a particular amino acid; and 'wobble' base-pairing, i.e. permitting non-standard base-pairing at the 3rd anti-codon position. The record is from Rfam by way of RNAcentral. Lineage: Eukaryota; Metazoa; Cnidaria; Myxozoa; Bivalvulida; Myxobolidae.
GGCCCCGUGGCCUAAUGGAUAGGGCGUCUGACUUCGGAUCAGAAGAUUGCGGGUUCAAGUCCCGCCGGGGUCG